RNAcentral lists this ribosomal RNA (460 nucleotides) under uncultured bacterium. RNAcentral describes it as "partial 16S ribosomal RNA". It matches the Rfam family "Bacterial small subunit ribosomal RNA", at positions 338 to 795 of the family's 1533-position model. The record is from RNAcentral.
CCUACGGGUGGCAGCAGUGAGGAAUAUUGGUCAAUGGGCGGGAGCCUGAACCAGCCAAGCCGCGUGAGGGAUGAAGGUUCUAAGGAUCGUAAACCUCUUUUGUAAGGGAAUAAAGAGUGGGACGUGUCCUAUGUUGUAUGUACCUUAUGAAUAAGGAUCGGCUAACUCCGUGCCAGCAGCCGCGGUAAUACGGAGGAUGCGAGCGUUAUCCGGAUUUAUUGGGUUUAAAGGGUGCGUAGGCGGGCUUUUAAGUCAGCGGUGAAAGCCCGGGGCUCAACCAGUGAAUGGCCGUUGAAACUGGCAGUCUGGAGUAGGUUAGAGGCAGGCGGAAUGCGUGGUGUAGCGGUGAAAUGCUUAGAUAUCACGCAGAACCCCGAUUGCGAAGGCAGCCUGCCGGGCCAUGACUGACGCUGAUGCACGAAAGCGUGGGGAUCAAACAGGAUUAGAUACCCUGGUAGUC